GAUUAAGUUAUUAAGGGCGCACGGUGGAUGCCUUGGCACUAGAAGCCGAUGAAGGACGUUACUAACGACGAUAUGCUUUGGGGAGCUGUAAGUAAGCUUUGAUCCAGAGAUUUCCGAAUGGGGAAACCCAGCAU
Molecule: ribosomal RNA, 134 nt
Filed under: Staphylococcus aureus
Lineage: Bacteria; Bacillati; Bacillota; Bacilli; Caryophanales; Staphylococcaceae
Description: partial 23S ribosomal RNA
Rfam family: Bacterial large subunit ribosomal RNA
Source: RNAcentral